This 252-nucleotide ribosomal RNA is filed under the name uncultured Bacteroidales bacterium. RNAcentral's name for it is "partial 16S ribosomal RNA". It matches the Rfam family "Bacterial small subunit ribosomal RNA", at positions 524 to 776 of the family's 1533-position model. The record is from RNAcentral. Lineage: Bacteria; Pseudomonadati; Bacteroidota; Bacteroidia; Bacteroidales.
UACGGAGGAUGCGAGCGUUAUCCGGAUUUAUUGGGUUUAAAGGGUGCGUAGGCGGCGAGUUAAGUCAGCGGUAAAAGCCCGGGGCUCAACCCCGGCCCGCCGUUGAAACUGGCUGGCUUGAGUUGGGGAAAGGCAGGCGGAAUGCGCGGUGUAGCGGUGAAAUGCAUAGAUAUCACGCAGAACUCCGAUUGCGAAGGCAGCUUACUAAGCCAUAACUGACACUGAAGCACGAAAGCGUGGGGAUCAAACAGG